AAAGGUCGAACGGCAGCACGGGAGCAAUCCUGGUGGCGAGUGGCGAACGGGUGAGUAAUAUAUCGGAACGUGCCCUGGAGUGGGGGAUAACGCAGCGAAAGUUGCGCUAAUACCGCAUACGAUCUAAGGAUGAAAGCAGGGGACCGCAAGGCCUUGUGCUCCUGGAGCGGCCGAUAUCUGAUUAGCUAGUUGGUGGGGUAAAGGCCUACCAAGGCAUCGAUCAGUAGCUGGUCUGAGAGGACGACCAGCCACACUGGAACUGAGACACGGUCCAGACUCCUACGGGAGGCAGCAGUGGGGAAUUUUGGACAAUGGGCGCAAGCCUGAUCCAGCAAUGCCGCGUGAGUGAAGAAGGCCUUCGGGUUGUAAAGCUCUUUUGUCAGGGAAGAAACGGCAUCGCCUAAUACGAGGUGCUAAUGACGGUACCUGAAGAAUAAGCACCGGCUAACUACGUGCCAGCAGCCGCGGUAAUACGUAGGGUGCAAGCGUUAAUCGGAAUUACUGGGCGUAAAGCGUGCGCAGGCGGUUUUGUAAGAUUGUCGUGAAAUCCCCGGGCUCAACCUGGGAAUGGCGAUGAAGACUGCAAGGCUAGAAUCUGGCAGAGGGGGGUAGAAUUCCACGUGUAGCAGUGAAAUGCGUAGAGAUGUGGAGGAACACCGAUGGCGAAGGCAGCCCCCUGGGUCAAGAUUGACGCUCAUGCACGAAAGCGUGGGGAGCAAACAGGAUUAGAUACCCUGGUAGUCUACGCCCUAAACGAUGUCUACUAGUUGUCGGGUUUUAAUUAACUUGGUAACGCAGCUAACGCGUGAAGUAGACCGCCUGGGGAGUACGGUCGCAAGAUUAAAACUCAAAGGAAUUGACGGGGACCCGCACAAGCGGUGGAUGAUGUGGAUUAAUUCGAUGCAACGCGAAAACCUUACCUACCCUUGACAUGGCUGGAAUUGCU
This 946-nucleotide ribosomal RNA is filed under the name uncultured bacterium. RNAcentral describes it as "bacterial SSU rRNA". It matches the Rfam family "Bacterial small subunit ribosomal RNA", at positions 59 to 1000 of the family's 1533-position model. The record is from RNAcentral.